UCCAGGAUCAGUGGGGAUGAGUUUGAACUUGGAAGGAGAAUGGCAUUAUCUAUAGAGGCUGAUGCAGGAGAGACCCAGCCUCCGGCUGUGACCCCCAGCCUCACACCUGCCUCUGGUUCCCGCCUGGUCCUCCAGCUUCAGGACCCCACCUCCAAAGGCCCCUCUGCUCAAUGCCUACCUCCCUAGGGCCCUGCUGGGACAUGGGGGCCUGAGUGCCCAUCCAAGGGCUCUCAAGGACACCGGCAAGGCCUCCAGGCCCUGAGCCCCACUUCUGCCUUCACCUCUGCCUGGGACCCGAGCUGGGCUCCUGGGCCUUGGUCCCCAGAAGAUGGCGGCUAGGGCCUCGCCGCCAGGACAGAGAAGGGACGGGGUGGCUGGGCAGUCAGGGAAGGAGGGUCGCCCGGAUCCGACAUUUUGGAGAGAUUCCUUCACUCUCCUGUCCCCCCUACCUCCCUUCUCUAAUUUCUUCUUUUUUUUAAUGAUAAAGUCUUAAAAACACGGAGCCACCAACUGGAGUU
Molecule: long non-coding RNA, 518 nt
Filed under: Homo sapiens (human)
Lineage: Eukaryota; Metazoa; Chordata; Mammalia; Primates; Hominidae
Description: non-protein coding lnc-MEIS3-2:1
Source: RNAcentral